RNAcentral lists this ribosomal RNA (448 nucleotides) under uncultured Planctomycetota bacterium. RNAcentral's name for it is "bacterial SSU rRNA". It matches the Rfam family "Bacterial small subunit ribosomal RNA", at positions 217 to 656 of the family's 1533-position model. The record is from RNAcentral. Lineage: Bacteria; Pseudomonadati; Planctomycetota.
GCUUAGAGAGGGGUCAAUGUCCUAUCAGCUAGUUGGUAGGGUAAUGGCCUACCAAGGCUAAGACGGGUAGCCGGCCUGAGAGGGUGGUCGGCCACACUGGGACUGAGACACUGCCCAGACCCCUACGGGAGACUGCAGUCGAGAAUCUUUCGCAAUGCCCGAAAGGGUGACGAAGCGACGCCGCGUGUGGGAAGAAGGCCUUCGGGUUGUAAACCACUGUCGGGAGUUAAGAAAUGCAAGGGUGUUAAUAGCAUCCUUGCUUGACUAAGGCUCCGGAGGAAGCCACGGCUAACUCUGUGCCAGCAGCCGCGGUAAUACAGAGGCGGCAAGCGUUGUUCGGAAUUAUUGGGCGUAAAGAGCACGUAGGCGGCUUUGUAAGUCAGUUGUGAAAGCCUUCUGCUCAACGGAAGAACAGCAUCUGAUACUGCAAGGCUAGAGUGUGGAAGGG